ACAGGCUGAACUCUGGUUCUGAGAGGAAAGGCACUCCAGGGUUUUGGAGUGGGCCACCUGAACUUGACCCUCAGGGCAGAUAUCCUAGAGUUCCAAGGAAGGCCCAGGCUGGGCCAAGAAGCCACCUCCAGAAUGCUGUUGUGGUGACACAGAGCACGCAGGAUCCCUGCUGGAUCAACUCAUUUCUCUGUGCAGAAGAUCAGCCACUGUUCAAGGAAUAUAGAGCCCCACUCAGGGCCAAGGAGAGGCUCCAGAAAAAUCACAAACACAAGAAUGUGUGUGAGGUACUGGAUAAAGCUGAGCAUGCUGUCCCAGGCAUGGGGCCUUCUCACCGGUUCUCUGAAGCCACCCCCUCCUUUAUGCCUUGAGGCUGCUUGCUGAUGCCAGGAGUAAAAGAAAUGACUCCUGCCCCUCUGUCUGUGUCUCUCUGUCUCUCUGUCUGUGUCCACCCUCCCCCCCCACCCCCCAAAUCUGUCUUCUCCUGGCAGCUGCAGAGAUUUAUAAUUUACCUGCCUUGUUGUUUCUCUCUUACACUCUAAUAAAACUCAAGCUUCCGUUUGA
RNAcentral lists this long non-coding RNA (561 nucleotides) under Mus musculus (house mouse). RNAcentral's name for it is "predicted gene 13431". Lineage: Eukaryota; Metazoa; Chordata; Mammalia; Rodentia; Muridae. The record is from RNAcentral.